Molecule: ribosomal RNA, 1431 nt
Filed under: uncultured organism
Description: partial small subunit ribosomal RNA
Rfam family: Bacterial small subunit ribosomal RNA
Source: RNAcentral
UCAUGACGAACGCUGGCGGCGUGCUUAACACAUGCAAGUCGAACGGAAAGGCCCUGCUUUUGUGGGGUGCUCGAGUGGCGAACGGGUGAGUAACACGUGAGUAACCUGCCCUUGACUUUGGGAUAACUUCAGGAAACUGGGGCUAAUACCGGAUAGGAGCUCCUGCUGCAUGGUGGGGGUUGGAAAGUUUCGGCGGUUGGGGAUGGACUCGCGGCUUAUCAGCUUGUUGGUGGGGUAGUGGCUUACCAAGGCUUUGACGGGUAGCCGGCCUGAGAGGGUGACCGGCCACAUUGGGACUGAGAUACGGCCCAGACUCCUACGGGAGGCAGCAGUGGGGAAUAUUGCACAAUGGGCGGAAGCCUGAUGCAGCAACGCCGCGUGCGGGAUGACGGCCUUCGGGUUGUAAACCGCUUUCGCCUGUGACGAAGCGUGAGUGACGGUAAUGGGUAAAGAAGCACCGGCUAACUACGUGCCAGCAGCCGCGGUGAUACGUAGGGUGCGAGCGUUGUCCGGAUUUAUUGGGCGUAAAGGGCUCGUAGGUGGUUGAUCGCGUCGGAAGUGUAAUCUUGGGGCUUAACCCUGAGCGUGCUUUCGAUACGGGUUGACUUGAGGAAGGUAGGGGAGAAUGGAAUUCCUGGUGGAGCGGUGGAAUGCGCAGAUAUCAGGAGGAACACCAGUGGCGAAGGCGGUUCUCUGGGCCUUUCCUGACGCUGAGGAGCGAAAGCGUGGGGAGCGAACAGGCUUAGAUACCCUGGUAGUCCACGCUGUAAACGGUGGGUACUAGGUGUGGGGUCCAUUCCACGGGUUCCGUGCCGUAGCUAACGCUUUAAGUACCCCGCCUGGGGAGUACGGCCGCAAGGCUAAAACUCAAAGGAAUUGACGGGGCCCCGCACAAGCGGCGGAGCAUGCGGAUUAAUUCGAUGCAACGCGUAGAACCUUACCUGGGUUUGACAUGGAUCGGGAGUGCUCAGAGAUGGGUGUGCCUCUUUUGGGGUCGGUUCACAGGUGGUGCAUGGCUGUCGUCAGCUCGUGUCGUGAGAUGUUGGGUUAAGUCCCGCAACGAGCGCAACCCUUGUUCACUGUUGCCAGCACGUUAUGGUGGGGACUCAGUGGAGACCGCCGGGGUCAACUCGGAGGAAGGUGGGGAUGACGUCAAGUCAUCAUGCCCCUUAUGUCCAGGGCUUCACGCAUGCUACAAUGGCUGGUACAGAGAGUGGCGAGCCUGUGAGGGUGAGCGAAUCUCGGAAAGCCGGUCUCAGUUCGGAUUGGGGUCUGCAACUCGACCUCAUGAAGUCGGAGUCGCUAGUAAUCGCAGAUCAGCAACGCUGCGGUGAAUACGUUCCCGGGGCUUGUACACACCGCCCGUCAAGUCAUGAAAGUUGGUAACACCCGAAGCCGGUGGCCUAACCGUUGUGGGGGAGCCGUCGAAGG